UGAUCAAUUCAGCCUCCUUACAAGAAGCAUCGGUGAAAGUCUGAUGGAUUUCCGCGAGACUUACAGACAUUCGGUCAUACUCUUCGAAUAAUAAUGAGCACGUAUUCCCACGUUUUAGUAUCAAUGACGGGCCAGUAUUUGAGAGAAAUGCACUUUUGUGGAAUUUUGCAAAUGACAGAUCCAGGUCCGGUAUUCAUUUGCAUCAGGAUAUAUGAGCACCCCCGCGUUGGCUCGACCUAGACGCCGCAAAAAACGCGACGAACUUAUCUACGAUUACAUGAUAAGAGUAGAGAAACUGGUCUGAUGGUCUGGCCCCAAACGCCGCGGGAUGACAAGAGUCAAGUCGUGCGGUGGCACACAGUGAGUAAAAAGAUUUUGUCACCAAGUAAACUUAAUCGCAUAUGAAAUAAAGAGCUCUCGCGGAAAA
Molecule: long non-coding RNA, 427 nt
Filed under: Bemisia tabaci
Lineage: Eukaryota; Metazoa; Arthropoda; Insecta; Hemiptera; Aleyrodidae
Description: lncRNA ENSSSA1NGG001562
Source: RNAcentral